CAGCAUAAACACAAUGCUGUAAGGAUGAACAGACUUGUCUGCAGUGCUUCAGGGGUUAGUGCUGUGUAUUAUCACCUGUACCUGUCGUGUCGAAGCGCUC
Non-coding RNA from Chelonoidis abingdonii (Abingdon island giant tortoise), 100 nucleotides. The record is from RefSeq and is a predicted model, not a curated record. Lineage: Eukaryota; Metazoa; Chordata; Testudines; Testudinidae.